AGGAUUCUUGGAUAAUAAGAGAUAAUACUUUUCAUAGUGUCUACUGUGUGACAGGCACUUUCCAAAUAUUAUCUUACUCAAUCUUCACAAUAACCAUUUUUGUUUUACAAAGCCUUAUUUACAUCUUAGAAUCAAUAUUUUGUAUUGGUUGCAAGGUAGAUGAGCAGUAAGGAUUAGGCAAUUGGGGUUAAGUGACUUGCCUAGGGUCACACAAAGUGUCUGGGCAAGCCUACAGACCAAUGAGGUAAUGAGGAAUCAGAUUCUGCCUCCUUCCUUCCUCUGUCUCCCUCCCACUUUCAGAUAAUCUCUUCAGUUGGUGUCAAGCUGGAAUUCAGUACUGAGAAUACAGUCACACCCUAUGCAGACCUCAGAGCCUUAGAAACAGAUAGAAGUCAAAGGCCAGAACAUGGAGGCAAAAGGUUGGUUAUCUGAGGGAAAGACUCAAAUGACUAUGGCUCCAAAUGUAGGACCAGAGCCAGGAUACCAGUCUACAAGAAAGAAAAAGAGAGUAAGUUUCAAGCAUUAUCAGCCAGAGGUUCAAAUCAUGAUUAAAAUGCAAUUGGGACAGAGCAGGUGAUUAAUAAGCAUCAAAGCAAUAAGUAAUCAGUGGAAAUAUUGGUGAAUAAGUAGUUCACAUAUGGGAAGUUCUUCAUUCUGUUUCAUUCCAGAAGUCCUGCAUCUUAGAUCCAGAGGCAUCUACUUCAAUCCCUGUAUUUUACAGGUCAGUAAACUGAGACCAAAGAGGGGAACUGUCUCAUCCAUGGUCACACACAUGGUGGAAGAACCAGUGACGGGAAUUUCUCUCAUUCUCACCAAUCUGGAAGAACUAGUUACUAAGAUGGAGAUGAUGUUUUAUUUAUGACUGACUGCACUGACACUGAAUUUGAAAGCCAUCUUUUCAAAGAUGUGGUAAACUGAGGUUCAGAAAAGUUCAAUGAUUUCUCCAGAUUUUAUGUAUAGCAAGAAAGUUAACAUUUCAACACUAGUUCUAUGCUUCCACAAGCAAAGUCCUUUCCAUUACAUAAUGGUGCUUUCUGAAAAAUGAAAGAUUAAAUUUUAUUUAAAAUUGUUUCUGUGCUAAGAACUUUAUUGUGUUCUUAUCUUUUGAAAUUUGCUAAUCCCUAUAGAGCACAAAUGAUAAUUCUCAGCAAGCCAAAAUAUUCUAUUAAAAAGAAUAACCCUUUUCCCACCACUUGGGUAUAAAUAGGAUUUUGUUGCAUGGCAUGGACCUUUUACAUUUGAACCAAGAAUCUUGGCUUGAGUUGAAUGAAGUUCUUAGGAGUUUCAGCGCAAAGGGAUCUCCCUGGAGUGAGACAUACUCUAAGCCAGCCUCAUCUGCCUAACAGGUUGGUGUUCAAUGGAAGGAAUUGGUA
Molecule: long non-coding RNA, 1373 nt
Filed under: Monodelphis domestica (gray short-tailed opossum)
Lineage: Eukaryota; Metazoa; Chordata; Mammalia; Didelphimorphia; Didelphidae
Description: lncRNA (ENSMODG00000033101.2)
Source: RNAcentral